GUGGGUGUAGCUCAGUUGGUAGAGCCCCUGACUGUGACUCAGGUUGUCGAGGGUUCGAGUCCCUUCACUCACCCCA
RNAcentral lists this transfer RNA (76 nucleotides) under Cycloclasticus sp. Its description in RNAcentral is "tRNA-His". It matches the Rfam family "tRNA". From Rfam's summary of the family: Transfer RNA (tRNA) molecules are approximately 80 nucleotides in length. Their secondary structure includes four short double-helical elements and three loops (D, anti-codon, and T loops). Lineage: Bacteria; Pseudomonadati; Pseudomonadota; Gammaproteobacteria; Thiotrichales; Piscirickettsiaceae. RNAcentral also lists the same sequence under 2 other names. The record is from RNAcentral.